CAGCAUCACAUCGGUUGCUGUGGAGACGACUGUGAUGUUGCCAAUAGAGAUAUGACUUCACUAACAACCUCUGAAGAAGGACAGAAACAUGAAGACACAGUGUGGCUUUAUUUUCCUCCUGCUGCCCAUUCCUAAUAACCCUGUUCUGCCAUUCCCUGCGCUCUGUGCUGCAUCCUGACCUUCAACCGAUGCACAAAUCUCUCUUCUUUCUUAAACUGGGCUGCAUGGCCACGUAUCAACAGCCUUUGGGCUGUAUUUCUGCAGGAAGGAUCGACCAAAAGCUCUGUUUUUACAUCACCAGUGCUACGAACCAUGGCUGCUUCCCUGCAAAGUUUGCAAUAAUGUGAAAACAGAAAUAAGCAAGCCCUGUGUGUUAACCCUCCUCCGCACAAUGAAACUCUGUACAGUGAAUUGGCUAAGUGGGUCCUUAUUCAGGAUCAUUCAUCACCAUGGCACGGCCUCAUGCAUACAUGGCAGAUUUACAUCAUUGAAACUGAGGAAUAAAAACAAAAGGCCCAUGAUCUGAAGGAAGGGCUGUCAUUAUUUAUGAAGCGCCAGUAAUGUGCUGAGGGUGAGAUGAAGAUCUGAUCAGCCUGGCCUCUCGGCUCGCCCUGCAAGGGUGCUGGUGGCAGAGUGACACACAGCUGGUGGCUGCAGCAAGGACAAACAUGCUCAGCAACUCAGGGCUUCUUAAAGGCGUUUUGAACACUAGACGCUCCGCUUCAAAAAAUGGGGCACGUGUAUGGGAAGUAAGUCUAAUGGUGAGUACAGACAACAAAAUGAGUUAAAGGAAAUAGUGUUACUGUUGCACUUCCUUGUUUGAAACCUCAGCACCUUAACGAGGCCAGGGAGCCCCAGUGAUAGUUCCAAAUCCCUGUGUUUCUUCACCUGCUUUUGAUCUCAUUGUAGCAAUGUUCAUUUUGUCCAAGUAAAAUAAAUGUCCUCGCAAAUGUCUGAGAGGAAGUGAAGAAUGGAAAACAUGCUCGUUGGAGUCAGCAAUUUGCCCC
This is a long non-coding RNA of Cygnus olor (mute swan), 1007 nucleotides long. RefSeq lists it as uncharacterized. The transcript has 3 exons. The record is from RefSeq and is a predicted model, not a curated record. Lineage: Eukaryota; Metazoa; Chordata; Aves; Anseriformes; Anatidae.